Molecule: ribosomal RNA, 497 nt
Filed under: uncultured bacterium
Lineage: Bacteria
Description: partial 16S ribosomal RNA
Rfam family: Bacterial small subunit ribosomal RNA
Source: RNAcentral
GAUGAACGCUGGCGGCGUGCCUAAUACAUGCAAGUCGAGCGAACGGACGAGAAGCUUGCUUCUCUGAUGUUAGCGGCGGACGGGUGAGUAACACGUGGAUAACCUACCUAUAAGACUGGGAUAACUUCGGGAAACCCGAGCUAAUACCGGAUGAUAUUUUGAACCGCAUGGUUCAAAAGUGAAAGACGGUCUUGCUGUCACUUAUAGAUGGAUCCGCGCUGCAUUAGCUAGUUGGUAAGGUAACGGCUUACCAAGGCAACGAUGCAUAGCCGACCUGAGAGGGUGAUCGGCCACACUGGAACUGAGACACGGUCCAGACUCCUACGGGAGGCAGCAGUAGGGAAUCUUCCGCAAUGGGCGAAAGCCUGACGGAGCAACGCCGCGUGAGUGAUGAAGGUCUUCGGAUCGUAAAACUCUGUUAUUAGGGAAGAACAUAUGUGUAAGUAACUGUGCACAUCUUGACGGUACCUAAUCAGAAAGCCACGGCUAACUACGUG